Molecule: long non-coding RNA, 644 nt
Filed under: Marmota monax (woodchuck)
Lineage: Eukaryota; Metazoa; Chordata; Mammalia; Rodentia; Sciuridae
Source: RNAcentral
UUAAGACAACAUGAUGCACAACCUCAAGGGAAAGAGUGCUGUGGGGAGCAUGGCAGAUGCCACAGAUUUAGACUGACAGUCUUGCAAUGGAAUGUUGAUGGGACUGUCCACUGCUUUAGCUAUGACCCUUUUUAAUGGUGUAGAAACAGGAUUGCAGGCAGAUCCCAGGGCCUGUUUGAAGCACAAAAGGACUUAGGGUAAAUCCUUGACUUCACACAGCAGCGGGAGGUGGAAGAUGAUCUCUAGGGUCUCAGUGUUCAUACAUAACAAUCAACUCUGAGAUGCCCCAGGUUGAGGGUUUUGGUCACCUCACUGGCUUCUCUCCCAAGGUGCUUGUCAUUAAUUACAUAACUGCUAGACCAGAAAACAGUUUCCAAUAGUUUCUUGGGGAUGUGGGUAUCUGCAAGGGAACAAGGUUUUGGAUUUACGUUAGCCUCAGUCAUGUCUUCAUCUCAUGGGCUCACAAAGCUGCAAAAAGUGCAACCCAAGGCUAGAGACAUGGCUCAGCGGUAGAACAGUUUCUUCCACGUGUGAAACCCUGGCUCCAAUUCUCAAUACUGCAAAAACAAAGUAAAAUACACAGGAGCUUGAAACUUGACAAAGAAGCUAUUUGAUAUUUGUUCAUAAGUUUUAGAAUUGACCAG